This 273-nucleotide ribosomal RNA is filed under the name uncultured Bacillus sp. RNAcentral describes it as "partial 16S ribosomal RNA". It matches the Rfam family "Bacterial small subunit ribosomal RNA", at positions 524 to 796 of the family's 1533-position model. The record is from RNAcentral. Lineage: Bacteria; Bacillati; Bacillota; Bacilli; Caryophanales; Bacillaceae.
UACGUAGGUGGCGAGCGUUAUCCGGAAUUAUUGGGCGUAAAGCGCGCGCAGGUGGUUUCUUAAGUCUGAUGUGAAAGCCCACGGCUCAACCGUGGAGGGUUAUUGGAAACUGGGAGACUUGAGUGCAGAAGAGGAAAGUGGAAUUCCAUGUGUAGCGGUGAAAUGCGUAGAGAUAUGGAGGAACACCAGUGGCGAAGGCGACUUUCUGGUCUGUAACUGACACUGAGGCGCGAAAGCGUGGGGAGCAAACAGGAUUAGAAACCCUGGUAGUCC